This 888-nucleotide long non-coding RNA is filed under the name Triticum aestivum (bread wheat). Its description in RNAcentral is "long non-coding RNA (TAES_LNC018536)". Lineage: Eukaryota; Viridiplantae; Streptophyta; Magnoliopsida; Poales; Poaceae. The record is from RNAcentral.
CACUGGCCUAUACACAACUGUUUCAGGUUGUUGAACCUCGCCUAAUCUAAUAAAAUCCUUUUGAAUUAUGUUUUGCCCAGAAUCACUAUAUACGAGAAUGAUUUAUCUUCGUCUCUUUCUUACACAUUCCUUCUGCAUGAGAAUUGAGGAGGUCAAAGACUGAUAUAAAUGAAACGGUGAUACACUUAUCACAGGUGACAUGGUACUUCUUUACAAACAUGGUACAAUCUACAGGAAAACUCUUAGAAAUUCUUAAACUUAUUAUUCCAUGAAAUCGUAAUACCUGACAAAGAGGUUGCUGCCCAGUCUCUGUUUUGUUUGCAGUAGUUAAGCUACCACUAUUUUUUGUUUUCAGAAACUCCAAAUUUUCUACAUUGUUCGCCAGAUCCUGAAACUAUCUUGACGAAGCUUUAGUAUCUAUUUUGUAAGCUCAUGGAGAUUUUCGUUGGGUACAAUUUGCAUCAAAUAUCUUAUAUAUGUUGUGGACUAUUAUUACCUGUUGAUAAUGCUACUUCAGAAAACAUGUGAACGCCAUCCUAGGACAGAGAAAGAGGCGCUACUGGCUAGGGAUUACAUGAUAGCUACCACCGACUGAAAAUAUGAGAUAUGGAUUGACACGAAAACAAGGUUUCACAAAUUCCGUACUCCCAUAUAAUCUUGAAAAGGAUGAGUCAGCCUUUCCUUCAUGAGCUUAUUUUCUUUAUGAUUCAUGUACAGAGAAAGAAGAAACAAAAAUAAACAGCAUAGCUCAGACGACGAGAAUAGUGGUUUCUCUCAGCGCCGCAUACUUAGUUGGUGCAGCAUGCUCCUGGGACAUACCAGGCUAAGUGAUGUUCCAGAGUACACAUGGAAUGUGACUUGAUGGAAGUCAACGGCUUGACGGCGGGG